ACUCUUGAAGCGACACGAGAACAGGCAAGCUGGAAGACUGUGGUAGAAGAGCUUGCAGCCUAUGAUUAGGCUCCUCGACCACAUCUGAGGAGUAAGAGCACUUAGGGGACAGUCUUGCCAAUCACAAAGCUGAAAGACAAGGUGCCUGUACAGGACCCCUCUGAGCUGACAGCGGGACAAACAGAGACACUCUUGCUGCUGCUGGCUCAGACAAAUGCUGAUCUUUGCUCUGCCAAUGAAAUCACAUUACUUUAAAAACAGGUUUCAAGGGAUUGUUUGAUGAGAAGGAACUGUGCUGAUCCUCAUCUACUAAGGCAGCAGUAACGCAGGAUCUGGGUGGUAACAAGUCCUCGUCUCUGCUGAUAAUCACCCUAUCUCUUGCCCACAGUACAUCUUUCUCUGAGGAACUCGGGAGAAAAUUAGAGCGAAACAGAUUUACUGGGCCGCAGGGUCUAAUUUACUGUAUUCACAGUCAGACAUUCAGCAAGAAAUAAGUGAGGGAAUAAGUGAGCAGAUUUUCUUCCUGCUUUCCCACUUGAGAAUGGAGUUCUAUGCUUUGGGAGACACCCACUGCAGCUUCACAGGAAGAUGAAAUUAGUUAUCAAUAGUCAAGCUGAAAAUCUAAAUUGAUGUUCUCUAGAGAUCAAGGGUAAGGCCAGACUUUCCGUAUGGGAUAGAGAUGAUGAAAAACUUCAGUUUCUCUUCUGUUGUACUUGAGUGAGUGGAACAAAUCAAGGUGAAAUUAUA
Molecule: long non-coding RNA, 747 nt
Organism: Oxyura jamaicensis (ruddy duck)
Lineage: Eukaryota; Metazoa; Chordata; Aves; Anseriformes; Anatidae
Exons: 4
Source: RefSeq, a predicted model, not a curated record